This 257-nucleotide ribosomal RNA is filed under the name uncultured bacterium. RNAcentral's name for it is "partial 16S ribosomal RNA". It matches the Rfam family "Bacterial small subunit ribosomal RNA", at positions 793 to 1055 of the family's 1533-position model. The record is from RNAcentral.
GUCCACGCCGUAAACGAUGGAUACUAGCUGUUGGGGCAACUUCAGUGGCUAAGCGAAAGUGAUAAGUAUCCCACCUGGGGAGUACGGGCGCAAGCCUGAAACUCAAAGGAAUUGACGGGGCCCGCACAAGCGGUGGAGCAUGUGGUUUAAUUCGAUGAUACGCGAGGAACCUUUACCAAGGCUUAAAUGUAGACUGACCGGUUUUGGAAACAGACCUUUUCGCAAGACAGUUUUACAAGGUGCUGCAUGGUUGUCGU